RNAcentral lists this non-coding RNA (752 nucleotides) under Halomonas sp. SUBG004. Its description in RNAcentral is "bacterial SSU rRNA". It matches the Rfam family "Bacterial small subunit ribosomal RNA", at positions 1 to 750 of the family's 1533-position model. Lineage: Bacteria; Pseudomonadati; Pseudomonadota; Gammaproteobacteria; Oceanospirillales; Halomonadaceae. The record is from RNAcentral.
AAACUGAAGAGUUUGAUCAUGGCUCAGAUUGAACGCUGGCGGCAGGCCUAACACAUGCAAGUCGAGCGGUAACAGAUCCAGCUUGCUGGAUGCUGACGAGCGGCGGACGGGUGAGUAAUGCAUAGGAAUCUGCCCGGUAGUGGGGGAUAACCUGGGGAAACCCAGGCUAAUACCGCAUACGUCCUACGGGAGAAAGGGGGCUUCGGCUCCCGCUAUCGGAUGAGCCUAUGUCGGAUUAGCUAGUUGGUGAGGUAACGGCUCACCAAGGCGACGAUCCGUAGCUGGUCUGAGAGGAUGAUCAGCCACAUCGGGACUGAGACACGGCCCGAACUCCUACGGGAGGCAGCAGUGGGGAAUAUUGGACAAUGGGGGGAACCCUGAUCCAGCCAUGCCGCGUGUGUGAAGAAGGCCCUCGGGUUGUAAAGCACUUUCAGCGAGGAAGAACGCCUAGCGGUUAAUACCCGCUAGGAAAGACAUCACUCGCAGAAGAAGCACCGGCUAACUCCGUGCCAGCAGCCGCGGUAAUACGGAGGGUGCAAGCGUUAAUCGGAAUUACUGGGCGUAAAGCGCGCGUAGGUGGCUUGAUAAGCCGGUUGUGAAAGCCCCGGGCUCAACCUGGGAACGGCAUCCGGAACUGUCAAGCUAGAGUGCAGGAGAGGAAGGUAGAAUUCCCGGUGUAGCGGUGAAAUGCGUAGAGAUCGGGAGGAAUACCAGUGGCGAAGGCGGCCUUCUGGACUGACACUGACACUGAG